Monodelphis domestica (gray short-tailed opossum) is the source of this 1758-nucleotide non-coding RNA. The record is from the annotation of a RefSeq genome assembly. NCBI's taxonomy places the organism in Eukaryota, Metazoa, Chordata, Mammalia, Didelphimorphia, Didelphidae.
GACCCAGAGGGAGGCUGAGAUCACAGAUUAGAAAAACAACCUAAGAACCAAAAAAGAAGAAUGUUUGCCUAACAUUAGGUACAUCAAGAAUAGUAUCUGCUUUCUGUUUCUUGGUACAAGAAAACUUGGAGGACUAGAUUUAGGGAGGGAAAUACUAAUAUCUAUUUCUCCACAACUGGACCAGCCAUGAUCUCUAUUUCUGCUUCAGUGAUUGGGAUCCUGUUAGUCUUCGGGGGCACUUAUGGAGACUCAGUGACCCAGACAGAAGAACACAUCACCCUCCCUGAGGGAGCAUCACUCACAUUGAACUGCUCUUAUCAGACUAGUGUGACACCUUAUCUUUCCUGGUAUGUCCAGUAUCCCAAUGAUGCUUUGAAGCUCCUCCUGAGAGAGACAGCAAGGAAAGACCAGGAGAAAGACAACAAUGGAUUCUGGACCAAAAAGAUAAAGGAAAAGUCUUCUUUCCACUUGGAGAAAACCUCAGUCCAAAUGGGAGAUUCUGCUGUGUACUACUGUGUUUUGAGUGACACAGUGAUGAGGACUGCAGGGGGAGCUGAACACAAACCCUGAGAGUUAUCCUGACUCUCACCAAUCCUGGGAGAGAAGUUUUUAUUUUUCGCAAACAAACCCUGUUUUGGGGACAUCACCUUGGGAAACAAAUGAGUUCUGCCAUCCCACAGGCAGUGGUGUUUUUGAAACUAGGAAAUAAAUGAAAGGGUGAAAGUCUGUGGAAUAUCCCAUCUCUGGGACAGUUCCUGCUCUCAGGCAUGGAGACUGCUCUUGCCCUGGCCCUGGGGGUUCAUAUUUAGGAAUUAAUCAUGAGAAAUGUGUUCAUUCUCUUUCAUAAACUAUAGUAUUUUAGUUUGGAAUUGUAAUAGAUGUAGGUGGAAAUAAUUCACCUAGUAAAAGUACAGGAAAUUGAGAUUUAUUGACUAUUAGGUCUGAAAGGGCUCAUUAAAUCCCUGCAGAUAAGGAAAGUGAAAUUCAUGAAAAGUGAAGAGAGACCCAAGUUACCAAAUCAGGCAGAAGUCAUAGAGGUGUAGGAUUUUAGAAGUAGGAGGGACUCUACUGGUUUAAUCCAAUCCAUACCCAAAAGAAAACCACAGAACAAAUCCAAUGAAUCAUUAUCCAAUAGUUGCUUAUCAAACCUCUUGAAACAUCCUAUUCCUUUUUUGGAAGUUCUAGUUCUUAGAAAUGUUAAUUGACUCUAAAUGUGCCUCUUUGUAAAUUAUACCCAGUGCUCUUAGUUCUGCUCUUGAGACCAAACAGAAAAGUCUAAUUUUUUUUAUAAAUUCAAAUUGUUAUCAUGUCACCAGUGAGUCUUCUUUUGUACAGGCUAAAUAGUCCUCACUUUCUUCAACUAUUAAUCAAAUAUAAUUUUUCAAGGUCUUUGGUCAUCCUGGUUACCCUUCUUAAUAUACUUUUCCCCUCUUUCAGUACACUUUAAAAUUUUUCAAUAUCCUUCUUUCUCUAACUCAGUAAAAUAUUAUAUAGAGAGACUCAUUAAGAUAGAUUACAGAGGGACUAUAACCUCUUUGUUCCUAGAAAUUACCUCACAACACAUUCCAUUACUGCAUGACAUUGUUAGCUACCUGAGAUCAACUUGAACCAAAUUGCAAAAGUAAAUUAUCAAAUUUUCAUUAUGUGGUUAUAACUUGGGAAUCAGCAAACAUAGGAUUUAGUUUAGUCUAUUGAAUGAACAAAUAUAUUAAAGAGACUUAAGAAAAUUAUGAAGAAUGAAUUAAAAAUACAAAUUAA